Molecule: long non-coding RNA, 300 nt
Filed under: Ananas comosus (pineapple)
Lineage: Eukaryota; Viridiplantae; Streptophyta; Magnoliopsida; Poales; Bromeliaceae
Description: long non-coding RNA (ACOM_LNC021368)
Source: RNAcentral
AUUUUUAAUUCAAAGUAUCUGCGCAAAUCCAAAUAAAUAAAACAUAAUCAACCAAAUACCUUUCUUAAAUAGUUACAAUAUUCAAAUCUCAAUUAAUUAUUCUAAUACAUGUUCACUAAUAUUUUUCAACCAAGAUGCAAACUUUGAUCAUCUGAAGAAAAGUUUUGUCCUUGACUUUCUCCAGUAUAGUCCAUUCAUACAUUUCUGUAAACUAUUAUUAAUAAUAAGAUAAUAAAUUUUAUCUAAUUAAUAUUAUUUAUUAUAAAUAAUCUAUUACACAACUUCACAAAAGACUAAGAU